Molecule: ribosomal RNA, 433 nt
Filed under: uncultured bacterium
Lineage: Bacteria
Description: partial 16S ribosomal RNA
Rfam family: Bacterial small subunit ribosomal RNA
Source: RNAcentral
AACGAACGCUGGCGGCAUGCCUAACACAUGCAAGUCGAACGAGACCUCCGGGUCUAGUUGCGCUCGGGGGCGUAACGCGGGGGAAGCUGCCCGUAGGUUCGGAAUACCUCCCUGUAGGGGGUGCUAAUACCGGAUAAUGUAUUCGGACCAAAGAUUUAUCGCCUUUGGAUGGGCCCGCGUUGGUUUGGCGAGUUGGUAGGGUAAAAGCCUACCAAGGCGUCGAUCCUUAGCUGGGCUGGGAGGAUGGGCAGCCACACUUGGGCUAAGACACGGCCCAGAAUCCUAGGGGAGGGAGGAGAGGGGAAUAUAGGAAGAUGGGGGGAGGGCUGAUCCAGCUAGGGCGGGUAAGUGAUGAAGGGCGUAGGGUUGUGAAGCUGGUUUACCCGGGGCGAUAAUGACGGUACCGGGAGAAUAAGCACCGGCUAACUCCGUG